RNAcentral lists this ribosomal RNA (254 nucleotides) under uncultured bacterium. Its description in RNAcentral is "partial 16S ribosomal RNA". It matches the Rfam family "Bacterial small subunit ribosomal RNA", at positions 524 to 776 of the family's 1533-position model. The record is from RNAcentral.
UACGUAGGGACCAAGCGUUGUCCGGAAUCAUUGGGCGUAAAGCGCGCGUAGGUGGCCAUUUAAGUCCGCUGUGAAAGUCAGAGGCUCAACCUUUGAAAGCCGGUGGAUACUGGAUGGCUAGAGUACGGAAGAGGCGAGUGGAAUUCCUGGUGUAGCGGUGGAAUGCGCAGAUAUCAGGAAGAACACCCGUGGCGAAGGCGGCUCCCUGGGACGGUACUGACGCUGAGACGCGAAAGCGUGGGGGAGCGAACAGG